Caenorhabditis elegans is the source of this 21-nucleotide non-coding RNA. NCBI's taxonomy places the organism in Eukaryota, Metazoa, Nematoda, Chromadorea, Rhabditida, Rhabditidae. The record is from Ensembl.
UAGCUCUUGGUUUUUAGGAAA